RNAcentral lists this ribosomal RNA (449 nucleotides) under uncultured Sphingobacteriales bacterium. Its description in RNAcentral is "bacterial SSU rRNA". It matches the Rfam family "Bacterial small subunit ribosomal RNA", at positions 933 to 1382 of the family's 1533-position model. The record is from RNAcentral. Lineage: Bacteria; Pseudomonadati; Bacteroidota; Sphingobacteriia; Sphingobacteriales.
AGGAACAUGUGGUUUAAUUCGAUGAUACGCGAGGAACCUUACCUGGGCUUAAAUGUAGAGUGCAUUCCCGAGAAAUCGGGAUUUUCUUCGGAACUCUUUGCAAGGUGCUGCAUGGUUGUCGUCAGCUCGUGCCGUGAGGUGUCGGGUUAAGUCCCAUAACGAGCGCAACCCUUAUCGUUAGUUGCCAGCGGGUAAUGCCGGGAACUCUAGCGAAACUGCCGGUGUAAACCGUGAGGAAGGUGGGGAUGACGUCAAAUCAGCACGGCCCUUAUGUCCAGGGCUACACACGUGUUACAAUGGCCGGUACAGAGGGCAGCUACCUGGAGACAGGAUGCGAAUCUCCAAAGCCGGUCUCAGUUCGGAUCGGAGUCUGCAACUCGACUCCGUGAAGCUGGAUUCGCUAGUAAUCGCGCAUCAGCCAUGGCGCGGUGAAUACGUUCCCGGGCCUU